This is a long non-coding RNA of Dermacentor andersoni, 160 nucleotides long. RefSeq lists it as uncharacterized. Lineage: Eukaryota; Metazoa; Arthropoda; Arachnida; Ixodida; Ixodidae. The record is from RefSeq and is a predicted model, not a curated record.
UCCGUUACAGCGUAUGAUCCUCGUAUACAGCAAAGCGGCGUUAUGGAUUCGAGGCGAUGGUCCGCGUGUGGUCCUCCGCCAUGGCAAGACGAUGACCUAGCUGCUGUGCCAUGGGGAGAGUUCGACCAACCGUUUGACUACGACCGGCCACUCAAUCUCG